UACGUAGGGUGCGAGCGUUAAUCGGAAUUACUGGGCGUAAAGCGUGCGCAGGCGGUUCUCCAAGUCCGUUGUGAAAGCCCCGGGCUCAACCUGGGAAUGGCAGUGGAAACUAGGGGACUGGAAUCUGGCAGAGGGGGGUGGAAUGCCGCGUGUAGCAGUGAAAUGCGUAGAGAUGCGGCGGAACACCGAUGGCGAAGGCGGCCCCCUGGGCUGAGAUUGACGCUCAGGCACGAAAGCGUGGGGAGCAAACAGG
Molecule: ribosomal RNA, 253 nt
Filed under: uncultured bacterium
Lineage: Bacteria
Description: partial 16S ribosomal RNA
Rfam family: Bacterial small subunit ribosomal RNA
Source: RNAcentral